AGUGAACGCUGGCGGUAGGCCUAACACAUGCAAGUCGAACGGCAGCACAGUAAGAGCUUGCUCUUACGGGUGGCGAGUGGCGGACGGGUGAGGAAUACAUCGGAAUCUACUUUUUCGGGGGGGAUAACGUAGGGAAACUUACGCUAAUACCGCAUACGACCUACGGGUGAAAGCAGGGGAUCUUCGGACCUUGCGCGAUUGAAUGAGCCGAUGUCGGAUUAGCUAGUUGGCGGGGUAAAGGCCCACCAAGGCGACGAUCCGUAGCUGGUCUGAGAGGAUGAUCAGCCACACUGGAACUGAGACACGGUCCAGACUCCUACGGGAGGCAGCAGUGGGGAAUAUUGGACAAUGGGCGAAAGCCUGAUCCAGCCAUACCGCGUGAGUGAAGAAGGCCUUCGGGUUGUAAAGCCCUUUUGUUGGGAAAGAAAAGCAGCAGGUUAAUACCCCGCUGUUCUGUCGGUACCCAAAGAAUAAGCACCGGCUAACUUCGUG
Molecule: ribosomal RNA, 492 nt
Filed under: uncultured bacterium
Lineage: Bacteria
Description: partial 16S ribosomal RNA
Rfam family: Bacterial small subunit ribosomal RNA
Source: RNAcentral